UCAGUUCGGAUCGGAGUCUGCAACCCGACUCCGUGAAGCUGGAUUCGCUAGUAAUCGCGCAUCAGCCAUGGCGCGGUGAAUACGUUCCCGGGCCUUGUACACACCGCCCGUCAAGCCAUGGGAGCCGGGNGCGCUUGAAGUGCGUCGCCGCGAGGCGCGCCCUAGAGCGAGACCGGUGACUGGGGCUAAGUCGUAACAAGGUAAC
RNAcentral lists this ribosomal RNA (205 nucleotides) under uncultured bacterium. Its description in RNAcentral is "partial 16S ribosomal RNA". It matches the Rfam family "Bacterial small subunit ribosomal RNA", at positions 1288 to 1500 of the family's 1533-position model. The record is from RNAcentral.